UUCUUUAAGAUUUUUUUUAAAGUAAGACCUGCUCCAUGAAAAAAUUUAAUAGCCGCAGAAAUUCUGUGCUAAGGUAGCAUAAUCAUUAGCUUUUUAAUUAAAAGAUAGAAUGAAAGGUCAAACACAAUACAAACUGUUUCAAUUAUUCAAUAACGAAAUUACACAUAAAAGUAAAAACCCUUUUAUAAAUAAGAAAGACGAUAAGACCCUAUAAACUUAUUAAUUAGCUGGGGCGGCACUAUAAAAAAACCUUAUUUAAAAAUAAAAAACAAAACAAAUAACAUUUAACAAGAAAUAGUUACUUUAGGGAUAACAGCGCUACUUUUUUCCAAAGUUCUAAUACAAAAAAAUCCUACGACCUCGAUGUUGAAUUAAGUUCCUUUAUAAAGCAAAAAUUAUUUAAAAGGAGGUCUGUUCGACCAAUAAAAACUU
RNAcentral lists this ribosomal RNA (432 nucleotides) under Otavaloa lisei. RNAcentral describes it as "partial 16S ribosomal RNA". Lineage: Eukaryota; Metazoa; Arthropoda; Arachnida; Araneae; Pholcidae. The record is from RNAcentral.